This 91-nucleotide transfer RNA is filed under the name Desulfovibrio sp. OttesenSCG-928-F07. RNAcentral's name for it is "tRNA-Ser". It matches the Rfam family "tRNA". Rfam says of the family: Transfer RNA (tRNA) molecules are approximately 80 nucleotides in length. Their secondary structure includes four short double-helical elements and three loops (D, anti-codon, and T loops). Further hydrogen bonds mediate the characteristic L-shaped molecular structure. tRNAs have two regions of fundamental functional importance: the anti-codon, which is responsible for specific mRNA codon recognition, and the 3' end, to which the tRNAs corresponding amino acid is attached (by aminoacyl-tRNA synthetases). tRNAs cope with the degeneracy of the genetic code in two manners: having more than one tRNA (with a specific anti-codon) for a particular amino acid; and 'wobble' base-pairing, i.e. permitting non-standard base-pairing at the 3rd anti-codon position. The record is from RNAcentral. Lineage: Bacteria; Pseudomonadati; Thermodesulfobacteriota; Desulfovibrionia; Desulfovibrionales; Desulfovibrionaceae.
GGAGAGGUGUCCGAGCUGGCCGAAGGAGCACGCCUGGAAAGUGUGUAUACGUUAACGCGUAUCAAGAGUUCAAAUCUCUUCCUCUCCGCCA